Molecule: long non-coding RNA, 1244 nt
Organism: Rosa chinensis
Lineage: Eukaryota; Viridiplantae; Streptophyta; Magnoliopsida; Rosales; Rosaceae
Exons: 5
Source: RefSeq, a predicted model, not a curated record
GUCCAAGGUACUCCAACCCAACCCGCCCUCUCUCACUUUUCUGCGUCAAUUCUUCAUAUGGUUUACAUUUAUGACCUCAGUUGCUAAUAGAGAUUGAUUUAUUGUCGCUGAGACCCUGAAAAACGUAGGGUUUAGGGUUUAAAUUUGGUGGGCAAGGGAUUAGGAAGGAAAAAAAAAAGGAGCAGAAAAUCAUAGAAAUAGAAUAACUGAAGUUCAAGAUACUAUAUUAGAUAGUAGUUUGUGUAAUUUUUCUGUUGGCUGAGUUUUUUUGUUCUAAAAAAUUCUGUCAUUUUGGUUUUUGGGCAAACUUCAAUUUUUGAAAGGAAGGCAAUAUUAUGGUAGGUAUUGGCUGACUGAAGUUGGAGAUUCACAUUUUUUUGCCCUGUACUAGGAGAAGUUACACAUGAGCAUGACCAAAAUGCUCUUCUCAUUGUUUUCUUUGCUGUAAUUUGCAUGUUUUGAUCCAAUUUAUGAGAAGAAACCAUUACUGUGUCUGAGAGUGACGCAGCUUGGCUGCCAGAAAAGUUUCUCAAUCAGAAGCUAGUUUACUUGGAUCAAGAAGCUUCCAACAGCCAAGAAGAGGAUAUGAAAAGCUGGUGAUGUGGAGAUAUUAGCUGUCACCGAUGUCGUAUGGACUGAAUGACAGCCGGUGCAAUCAAUUCCUUGGAAGAAGUUGGAGACAUAUCCUUACCAACUCAACAGAACCUUUAGGAGUAAUGGUCUCUUGAAGUCUCGAGGAGUGUUCCCAGAAGCACGUUGGCACUGGAUUGGUGUAGUAGCUUUUUUUGGAUUUAUUCUUCUAUAUAUAUAUUCAACUUCCUUUUUAUUUUGGCACUUCAGUAUCUUCAACCUCUUGGUAAGCCUCAUGCAGUACUUUCCAAAGAGGCCUUGGCAAAGAAACAAGCCACCGAAACUGGAGAGGUCUUUGAAUUAUUGUCAACAGGAAAGAGCUAUAUUGGUGUAGCUAAUGAAAGAAUAGAUAUUGUGUUAGUCGAUCUUACUAAUUAGCGAGGAAUGGUUCUUCUUUUUAAACCCCUCUCAGUUACAUCUGAUAAAAUCAUAUAUGCAGUUGACAUGCCACAGGUACCUUCAAUUCAUUUUUUGGCCAUUUCUUUUGAAAUAAACUUGAACUUCUUAGAUCACAUUGAGUUAUAGAUGGUUUAUUUGUUUGUUAAUUCAUUGUAUCUGAUGAACUCCGACUUGGCCUUGACACCUACUAGAGGUGUGUGGAAGUUUUUUUUUUU